CCCCGGGUGGGCGGGGUCUGCUGCCCGCGCAGGAAGCGGCGGGGGCGGGGUUGAGAGCGCUCGCGGCCGAGUCAGUCGCGGACGAUCCGGCGGGGCGGAGGGGUGAUGGCGCAUCGGCAGCGGAGCCCGCUCAGGCCACCAGCUCCUUGGACUCAAGGAAGGAAGCGAGAUGCAGAUGGCAAACCCAGAAGCACACACGAUCUAAGCUCGCCCACUUCUCACAGUGAAAAUACAUGCAAAGUGUUAGACAGGCGCUCGGACAAUUUCACCACACCCGAAAGCCAUAAACCUCAUCCAAGAUGCUUGGAUUGGGCAACUGCUGUGGAAGAGGAUGAAAUGAGGGCUAACGUUAAUCAAGAAAUGGCAAGAUACAAAAGGAAGCUCUUGAUGAAUGAGUCUGGAAGAGAAAGAAAGCUGUCCUCAGGAAGCUCUGAUUCCAAGGAGUCCACCGGAGCCAUGGAGCUGGAGACAGAUGAAGUUGUUUUAAUGAGAAGACAGAAACAAAUAAAUUAUGGGAAGAACACGCUGGCAUACGACAGAUACAUUCGAGAAGUUCCCAAGAGUUUACGGGUUCCAGGGGUCCAUCCAAGGACGCCCAACAAAUUCAAGAAAUACAGCCGAAGGUCCUGGGACCAACAGAUCAGACUCUGGAAAGUGGCGUUGCAUUUUUGGGACCCCCCUGCUGAAGAAGACUGACGCUCACCCGCAAUGCCACCUGAUUUUGAAAAUUUACUGUGGAAUAAAAACGGGGCCUGUUGCUUUGGUGAUAUGGAAAGCGCAUCUGUAGGAAAUAAUUCUGCUGCGUCAUAAGCGAGUUCCCCAGACAGUGAUGUCAGCAGCUUGACUUUUGCAGCUAAAUCAGCGAAAACUAGCCCAUUUGACAACUCUGUCUUUGUGGCAUGUAAACCCUUGUCCAUGCUUAAGAUGCCCCAGACUAGAUUCUAGUUUAUGUUUGCUGAAGUAGACUUAACAGGGCCCCCCUCAGGAGCACUUUCCUACCAAGUUGCGUGGAAGCGCUAUUUUACAGAACCCCGACAGGUGCCUGUUUCCAGGGCUGGGUUAACCUGAUGUUCAUUGUCCUUAUAAAAGAUGAGCUAGCAUCAGCUGAUGUAUCUGAAUGUUGUAUCUGAAUGUUGUGUUUGCAACUUAAAGCCUAUGUUUUAAAAAUGUUGUAUAUCCAGUGUGUUGGCAGUGAAGAAUCUCAUAUAUUAAAUACCAGUCUAUUUUGA
Molecule: RNA transcript, 1229 nt
Organism: Sphaerodactylus townsendi
Lineage: Eukaryota; Metazoa; Chordata; Lepidosauria; Squamata; Sphaerodactylidae
Gene: SLBP
Gene name: stem-loop binding protein
Exons: 8
Source: RefSeq, a predicted model, not a curated record